This 237-nucleotide ribosomal RNA is filed under the name uncultured Anoxybacillus sp. Its description in RNAcentral is "partial 16S ribosomal RNA". It matches the Rfam family "Bacterial small subunit ribosomal RNA", at positions 1146 to 1382 of the family's 1533-position model. Lineage: Bacteria; Bacillati; Bacillota; Bacilli; Caryophanales; Anoxybacillaceae. The record is from RNAcentral.
UGACUGCCGGCUAAAAGUCGGAGGAAGUGGGGAUGACGUCAAAUCAUCAUGCCCCUUAUGACCUGGGCUACACACGUGCUACAAUGGGCGGUACAAAGGGUCGCGAACCCGCGAGGGGGAGCCAAUCCCAAAAAGCCGCUCUCAGUUCGGAUUGCAGGCUGCAACUCGCCUGCAUGAAGCCGGAAUCGCUAGUAAUCGCGGAUCAGCAUGCCGCGGUCGAAUACGUUCCCGGGCCUU